AUAGCCGAGCGCAGGCCUUCUCAGAUUGGACUUCAUAGGAGGGAGCUAGCUGAUCAAAUAAAUAAUAGACAAAAAGGCAGAGGGAUAGUGAUGGUGCGCCUUUUCUCUGACGCAGCGUGGCGCACCUCUGAGGAACCUCUGAAUCCCUUCCAUUCUCCGCACACAGGGAGAGAGGAGCGAUAGAUUAAAACUGCAUGGCAGACGCCGCUAAAAAUGAAUAGGGCUAAAAAUACUCCCCUUUUCAGGCAGACAUGAAAGGAAACUGCCUUUCCUCUCUGUCCGGUAUUGAGCAGCCAUUGAUUCCCGGAGACAAAAGGCUACACCUCCUCAAAGAGGAGGCAACGGCAGGCGUCGGGAGCUGCAGGCGUGCCGCCGAACGAGGGCUCGUUCGUCUUCGGCUUUCAUCUGGUUAGCAUGACACGGCGCCCCAUGCAGUGUAAGGCAGAGCCGGCCGGGCCUGGGGAGCGCACAAAAAGCAGGAGAGGGAGUGGAAUGAAUAUUGAUUCCAUAUUCAUGUGGAUGGAGCCAACAACAAGGCUCGGGAAGACCAGUGGAUGGACAGCCAGUGGCCAUAGACAAGCAUCAGCGGGGGCACCGUGGACCGGCAGUGGGGAUCUAUGGUUGCUCCCUCUCCAGGCACCCACUUCACACUGAGGCCUGUUCGUUUUGAUGUGAGGCACUGGAAGGAACGAGGCGGGGGGGGUUGUCCACUGCUGAGCUCAACCCACUCCACAAUGCUGAACCACUCUUCUGUACUGAAUUGCAAUCUUGGCUGGCAAGGCUUCAAACGGGAGGGCUGAAAAGUCGAGCGACAGAAGGAGAACGCGGGCCAAAGCGAAGAUGGACUAAGUGGAGGGAAAUAAAGAGGCCUCGCACCAGGGUGGAACCAAGGCCGGCCGGACAUAAUCACAAACAAAAGUCGAAGAGCGGACAAUGUCCAAGGUUCGAUGAGCCGCAACAUGUUCAUCUGACCAUUUGGAAUGAAAAAUCAGAAUGUGUCAAGUCACUGUUGGUCCCGCAGGCAUUUGUGGUGCGCACCACGAUGUACCAUAUGCACGGCAAGGUUCCAAGCCUCCAGUUCUCGCUUGUUUCAAGCUACUAGGACGCCAUCUGCAGGAAAAAUAACCUGAAUGUGUGAAAUCGUUUGGUGCGGGUGCUUCUCAAGGUGGAAAUGACAUUCGGUUCGGACUUUAUAAAGACGAAGGGAAAGCCCCUCGAGCCAACUCUGUGGUGACCUGGCUGUUAUGUUCAAUGAACCGACACAACUUGUUCUAAUAACACAUUUACCAGUGAGCCGCUACGACAAAAGGGGAUGGACGGUUUCGACAUUCUCCGAGACGAUUUCACCAUGCAACAAAGAAGGGGCGAAGGUUCAAGCUCCGUUUCUUUUUCUCCCUGUGUCCCACCUCGGCGCCCAGCGAGUGAGACGCCGUGUCUGCUGCUCUUCUUUCAUGAAAGCUUGAUCACAGGGAUCGAGAAGCUGUCUAGCCGUUGCAACAGUGACAUCAACAUCCUCAAUCCUAGUUUGUAGUAUAUGCCUAUACUAUUAUUAUUCUACUAUUGGCUAACUUUUGUGUUUUCGUGACCUCGAUUUUGCCGCAUCUGCACCAUACAGAGGCAAACUGACAAUAAAGGUGUUGUAUUCUA
This is a long non-coding RNA of Hippocampus zosterae (dwarf seahorse), 1647 nucleotides long. RefSeq lists it as uncharacterized. NCBI's taxonomy places the organism in Eukaryota, Metazoa, Chordata, Actinopteri, Syngnathiformes, Syngnathidae. The record is from RefSeq and is a predicted model, not a curated record. The transcript is spliced from 2 exons.